GAUGGCUGAGGAAGAGCAAAAUUUCAACUUGACAAUCACAGAUGACUGCUGAAGCAGAUACAACCACUGAGGCAAAAAUCUGAUUGCAAGGAACCUGAACUCCCUGACUUGAACACCUGCAAAGGACAGGGAUUAGGGCCCUUAGGUACACUACUCUGCACCCAGGAGUUACAAAUCACUAACACUCUGAACUGUGACUUUUCUGGCGUCCCAUUCAGAUGAUUUUUAUGAUGUAUGUGGUUUUUAUUUGCUCUGUGGGCUUGCACAAGCCAUCCUAAGACCUUCAUGGUAAAAUUUCAAUCCUGUCUCAAAUUGACAGUUUAAACCCUUAAUAAAGCCUUAUAUUUUAAAGCACACAUACACACACACACAUACAUGUCAGGCCUCUGAACCCAAGCCAAGCCAUCGCAUCCCCUGUGACUUGCAUGUAUAUGCCCAGAUGGCCUGAAGUAACUGAAGAAUCACAAAAGAAGUGAAAACGCCCUGCCCCGCCUUAACUGAUGACAUUCCACCAUUGUGAUUUGUUCCUGCCCCACCUUAGCUGAGUGAUUAACCCUGUGAAUUUCCUUCUCCUGGCUCAGAAGCUCCCCGACUGAGCACCUUGUGACCCCCGCCCCUGCCCACCAGAGAACAACCCCCUUUGACUGUAAUUUUCCAUUACCUUCCCAAAUCCUAUAAAACGGCCCCACCCCUAUCUCCCUUCGCUGACUCUCUUUUCGGACUCAGCCCGCCUGCACCCAGGUGAAAUAGACAGCCAUGUUGCUCACACAAAGCCUGUUUGCUGGUCUCUUCACACUGACUCGAGUGAAAUUUGGUGCCGUGACUAGGAUCGGGGGACCUCCCUUGGGAGAUCAAUCCCCCGUCCUCCUACACUUUGCUCUGUGAGAAAGAUCCACCUACAACCUCAGGUCCUCAGACCAACCAGCCCAAGAAACAUCUCACCAAUUUCAAAUCCGUGAUAGAUCACAACAAGAGAUCAUGAAGAGGGCAUGGCCGCCAUGUCAUUCUGGAGAGAGACAGAGUAAAACAAAGAAGGUGAUGGGUAAAGCGCAGUCGCCUGCUAUAUAUUGUCUAUUUUUGGUUUUUCACUUACCUUUUAUAUUUAUGCCUUUUAUGUACAACAGGAUUAUAAGCAGCUUGAGUCCAGUGAAUAUACCAUUUCAUUUUGCUAUCCUUCACUGCACUUAGCUUAGAGGAAAUAAUCACAGCUUAUUAUUGAUUAAUUAAUUAAUAGAUGAAUGGUGAACAGAUGAUUAUCAUCCCAAGAAAUGGGAUUUUUUUAAUUCUGGGCAACUAGGAAAGUUUUUAGCUACAGAGAAAUAUUGACAUGGGCAACAACUUCAUCUUACAGCAAAAAGUCCUUUUUUUUUUUUUUUUUUUCUUUUUGGAGACAGAGUCUUGUUCUGCAACCCAGGCUGGAGUGGAGGGCAGUGGUGUGAUCUCGGCUCACUUCAACCUCCGCCUCUUAGGUUCAAGUGAUUCUCCUGCCUCAGCCUCCCGAGUAGCUGGGACUACAGCAGCCUCUCUACAAGUCUCCUAACUUAACCUGAUGGGAAAACACUUCCUACCACUAACAGCAUCUACUUGAUUACUGAUACUUUGAUCAUGGAGUUUGGGCAUGCCACUUGAUAGAAAUUUGAAGAGCAAUUAUAUUUUUCAAAAAGAGUUUUGAAUAAUGUUAAGAUAGAUUGCAACAUGACUAUCAAUUCUUCCCUUCCCAUCAAAGGAGAGAGUCCGUUUAUCCAGCCUUUGAAUCUUGAUUAUUCAUGUGACUUGCUUCACCCAAUGUAACAUUAAUAAGCACAAUACAAGCAGAGGCUUGCCAAGAACUUGGUUUGUUUCUAAUGCUUAGAAGAAGAAUGGUGUAUGCCAUAUUUCUGCAUUUAGAACUCACGUGGAGACAUGUGUGGCCCAAUUGCUUCUCUUUCAUCUCAGGCAAUAACCAGACACGGGACUGAGGCCAUCCAUGACCAGCCAGCCCUAGCCAACACACAACACACAAGCUGAUCACAGAUGCAUGAGUAAGCCUGAGACCAGCCAAGACCAGCCUAGAAUAGAACUGCUCAGCAGCAAUAAAAACUAAAUAAAUUGUUACCUUAAGCUACUUUUAGAGCUAUUUGGAAGUGUAUUUUUGUGCAGCUAACAUUUACUAGCAGAUAAAAUGGUGAUUGUUUAUCUCUGUUUUAUUGAUGUUUUAAGGAAAUUGUUUCUAUUAAAAGGAAAUAUCUGGUCUUUGUCACGUUAAAUCAGGUUUAGCCUGAAGUUGUCUCCUUAAAUUUGCGGCACAACUCCCACCCUGCAAUACUUCAAAUUGUUUCACCUUUUUUGACAGAACCAAGGUAUAUCUUAAAUGUACUUGAUUGAUGUCUCAUGUCUCCCUAAAAUGUAUAAAACCAAACUGUGCUCUGACUACCUUGGGUACAUGUUCUGAGGGUCUCCUGAAGGCUGUGUCACAGGCCAUGGUCUUUCAUAUUUGGCUUAAAACAAAUCUCUUCAAAUAUUUUAUGUAGUUUGACUCUUUUCCUCAAUAGAACUCAUCAUUUAACCAGUUAAGUAUUUUGAGUUAGUUUGGGAUUAAACACGAGAGUUUUGACAGGGAGCUGAAACAAUAGUAGUUUCAUCAAAAGUUGAUUCUUGGUGCAUGUAAUUUUCUAUUACAGUGAACACAGAUAAUAAUGAUGCAUAUGUCUUUACCUAGAUUAGAGAAAGGAAGAGAAAAAAUAAAAAUUUUGGAAAUGAGAUAAAAAGAUAUUGAUCUCACUGAUGUUUCUGAAUCUAAGACUGAACUCAAUUAUUAGUUGUAUUUACUGCUUAUUAGAUUUACUAAGAAAGUUCUUUAAGGUACUUACAGCCCUAAAAUUAUUUGCAAUAUUCAAUAGCAAGGGACUUAAAUACAGUCCUGAUUACUCCAUCACAAAAUGCCAAAAACAAUUAGGAUCUUAAAGGAACUACCCAAAUAGGUUUAAGAUAUCACUCAGGCCAUAAAAAUGUUUUUAAAAUUCACAUCACAAAAUAGCCAAAUGACAUAUCAGAAACAAAAGCAAAAAAGUCAUCCUAAUUCAAGGCAAUUACUUUAGCAAUUCAAAAUAAAAUGUUAAAAGUGACCAAAAAACAAAUGCAAAAUAUUUUAAUGACUUUAAAUGGCUGUAUAAUUUCCUCAUCACUUCACUUGGCAGAGUUAAGAUGGCAUUUAACCUAAGUUCACAUCAUUAAAAAAAACACUGCACCAUGAUGCUUUUCUUAAUAUGCAUUCUCAAAUUAGCAUACAGAGAAAAAUGAAACUAUAGUAGAGACGUAAAUUUAAUCCCUAUUUAGGUCACUAGGCAUUUAUUAGCCCCACCACAGGUUAAUACACUUGCAUUUGCAUCUGUUUCUAAAUGCUAAUUAUCUGACCUCAGAACACUCACUUAUGGGCUUCAUUUAUUGAAAAACAAAUCCCUAUGAUUUGAUCGUAGAGUAACUUUUAAUGUCUAACUUUACGUAGUAUAUUACAGUUUUCAAAACAUUUUUAUAAAAAGUAUUUUGUUUAUUUACAGCAACUAUAUAUCAUAGAUAUUAAUGUGUAUAUUUUGCAUUUAAGCAAGUUGGAGUUCGUAAGGUUGAAUUACUUGAAAUGUACAAAUAGAUAGUAGUGAAUAUUUAAAGUACAUUUUUAAAAAUAUGACCCAGAAAAAUAGGUGGCAUUUAAGAAAUAUAAGCAUGGUAUCUAUCUUACAUGUAUAUUAGGAGUGGACAGUUUUCUAAGAUUAGAAGCAAACAGUUGUCAAGCAAGGGUUCUAAUUUUUGUAAGUCUUGUGGGAAAGAAAGAUAAUAGAGGGUUUCAUUGCAAAGAUAUAAAACUACUCUAGAUAAUUUAAGCAAAAACUAAUCUAAUAAAUUGGGUUUUCCAAAUUAUUGAAACACCUUGAGAACUAGUGCCUGGGUAGGCCUGGAGAAAUGACUCCAGGAACAGCAUUACAGAACUCACCUGCCCAGUGGUAACAGUGCCCAGAUUGCUCUUCUCCAUUAUCCAGCCAGAGUUCCAGAUCAGCCUGAAUACUUCACCUCUGGGAAGACUUUGCAGAACCUCCAGAUUUAUGCCACCUCUAUAACCUGUGUAAUAUUAUUACAAUGCAUAUUAUGUUCUAUUUCACUUACAGUCAGCCCUCCUUAUCUGUGGGUUCCACAAACAUGGAUUCAACCCACAGUAAAAUGAAAAUAUUUGGGGAAAAAAUUAAUGUUUGAGUCUGUAUUGAACACGUAGACUUUUUCUUGUCACUGUUCCCUAAACAAUACAGUAUAACAACUAUUUACAUAGUAUUUACAUUAUAUUGGGCAUUAUAAGUAAUUAAAGAUGAUUUAAGUAUAUGGAAAGAUGUAUAUAGGUUAUAUGCAAGUACUGUGCCAUUUUAUAUAAAGCACUUGAACAUCACAGAUUUUGGUAUCAAUGAGGGGUGCUGAAACCAAUUGCCCAUGGAUACCAAGAGACAGCUAUAUUUGUUUCAAUGUGUACCUCUCCUUCUAAACUCAGUUCUUAAGCAUAUAGUAUCUUUAUAGCUAUACACCUAGUGUCUAUCAGACCCUAAACUAUGGUAGGCCCUCAAUACAUUUUAUUGUUAUAGGUAGAUAGAUAGGCAUGAGUAGGGCAGGAGAGGGCUCUCCCUCCACCCACUAGAAAUGUCAAGUGAUGUUUUAAAAAUUGUCACACUGCCUCUCAGAAAAUGAUAAUUCAGCAACCGGGGAGAGACAAUCUUCUGAUGGUCCACACCUAUUAACAUUAAAGUGUUAUUAAAGGCAGACCCCAGAAAGAAGAAACUUACUGGGCAUGCACAUUAAGAGAUAAAAACGGCAAAAUAUUAUCUUCCACGUACCCACAACUGGAAAAAAGGAAGAAAGCUUCAGUGAGAAAUUCCUAAAAAGAUAAGCAGCAUGACAAAGAAGACAAAGGGAAGAUGCCAGACAACCUGGAAAUUGGAUAAUGGAGACCCAGGGAGGGUAUAAAAGAGAAACUACUUUGUAAUAAUUUAUAUUGAUUAUUCCUUUCAAUAGAUUUUGUGGAGUAGUUCAAUAUUCCCAUAAUCCAUUCUUUGUCACCUGAAGGAAAGGUGAAUGAGAUAGCUCAGAAGUUCCAUAACAAGGCAGUGGCAGGUUUGAGACCAUUGCUUUGUGUUUCUUAAUUUACCUGCCUUUUGUGUGUAUGAUGAGGAUUCCUGCCCUCUUAGCCACUAGUAAAAAAAAGAGAUAAAAAGUAUCAAGGUUUUUUUUUACUAUCAAAUUUUCUUUUUUAACUUGGCCAUCUCUGUCACCAAAUACAUUCUUACACAGAUAUAGUCUUAAAAUUUGUACAUAGUACAAAGCUAUCCACAAUAUUUGUGUUGAAUACAACACAUGUAUAUACAAGCAAGAAACUAACAUGAAUAACAAGUGAUGAGCUAAAGAUUCAUUCUCAAUUAGCCUUUUGUUUUUAUAAAGGGUGUGUGGCUGUUUUUCAUGUCAGUGAUCGUUGGUGUGAAACCAAUAUAGAGUCAGGAGAACAUACUCAUUGUAAUCAUACAUAAUUUAGGACUAGAUGAUGCUUUUUCAACUUCAUUGUGUAUAAAAUAGAUUUAAUUAUGUUGAAGAUGAUGUACAGAAAUGAGUUACUUAGUUACUGAAUGAACUAGCCAAAAUUUCAGCAUUCAUAUCUCAUCAACUGUUGCUAUUUAUCAUUCAAACCUUUAGUAACUCUCAGGAAUCUGAACUUUACUGACUUAUGUGAGAAAUGCACAAGCCACAGAAGUAUUCACAAAUUUAGAAAUCUACUAAGCUCUCAGAAUAUGUAUUUGCAAGAUAAGGUGAACUUUUAUCCCCUGGGACAAACCUGUGUUACACUGAUUGACUCAGCAUUAUAAUUAGUAGUGCCCUUUCACUAUUGAUAUGCUCUUUAUUAGAUGAUGGAUUAAAUGGCUUUCUGGGUCAUUGAUUACAAGAUUCUAUCUUAUAACCAUAUUUUAAUAUUAAAUAUUUAUCAAGAUGUUCAUGUACUAUAUCAGCAAAAAAUUACUAAAUGUAUAUAAGGUGGUUUUGACCUUGCCACUCAAUUAUUUACUAAAAGACUAAGAUGCUCUCUCAAGUAAAUACCUCGCUUUGGUAAAGUUCCAUUACUAAAACUCUCAAGUAUCUGAACUUUUCAUUAUGCUUCCCUAUACUUCUUUUUCAAUCCAGUUUGUCAGUGCCUGUUCAUAGCCUAAUAGAGCAGUUCUCACAGUAUUAGGGGUCAUCAACACUCUGUCAGUGCGUACACGACUAUUUUUAAAAUAAACUAAAAUGCUGUUUGUCUUUUUCACUCUUAUUCUCUAAUGAGUGUCUGGUACAGUUUUCCAGAGGUUACAUGAUGUGUGAUGAUAUCAUCACUCUGAUAGCUAAUGGAAAGUAUGACUGUAUAUUCUGUAAUGUUCCAGGAGUUUCUGAGGUUUAGGUUUAGGUUAUAAAAGGGGGCAUAUGUUCAGAGAUUAACUCAAUUUUUUCUCAGUACUUCUAUUGUGUUUUUACUAAGUACCUUUUCUUAUAUUUGCUAUAAUCUGUAUAAACUUAUUGUCAUACAAUAAAUCAAUAUUUUAAAAUCCCAAUGAUUUCUUUAUGACUACACAAAAACAAGUAGUAAUC
Molecule: long non-coding RNA, 6624 nt
Filed under: Homo sapiens (human)
Lineage: Eukaryota; Metazoa; Chordata; Mammalia; Primates; Hominidae
Description: HSALNT0075655
Source: RNAcentral